CCACGCCGUGAAACUGCCUGCUCCUCCACGGUGGAUUUCUCCGUGCAUCACCUAUUUCGGGUCUUCUUCUCCUGAUCGCCAUUCCCGUUUACUCGAUGCUCCUUCCGCCGCUGGCCGGGCCGUGAAUUUCUCCCCACACCCCCAGCGAUGGCUGGGAUGUUUGGGGAAGAAGGGGAGGGUCUGCUCCUGCCCAGCGCGGAAGCACUACAUGCCGGCGCCACCACACCCCAAAUCGUCCCUGCCGCUAGGGGCGCCCCGCGCUUCACUGCCUUCCCCGCGCCACCGUUGCCGGCAGCCCCCAAUUCCCGCGUCGCGGCUGAUUGGGAAGAGGCGCCGAUGCCGGAUUCGAGCGGCUGCGGCGGCAGUGGCGGUCUCUGUGGUAGGGGACGGGGCGGCGUGGCGGUCUGCCGGGGCCGGCUUAUCCCCUGCUCUAUCGCUCUUCUGGCUGCCGACUCGUGUGGCGCGCCGGCGCCUGGGCCAAAUCCGGGCGUGAGACUGCCCAGCACGCCGCCUUUGGAGGAUCUUGGUGUGCCGUAGCGUGCUUCUGAGAAAGGGGGCGAUCCCGAGCUAGCCGUGCACAGUGGCGGCUCAGCAUCGAGAUUCCCGGCUUAGGAUUUGGCUUCGUCGAGCGGGAUGAUGCCGGCGUCUGCCGACGACCCUCUCAUCAUUGGGUGGUAAUCUCGGUUCUCCGGUUUCCAUUUGCAUAUCCUGUGCUACUGCCAAUUGCGAAGGAUGAGACGAGUCGUGAUUCUUGCCUGCCGAAGAUUGGUUACUGUAACUCUGUUCAUAAUUGGCUGAGCCGACCUGGACAUCGGUUUUUUGGGAUCGUUUAUCAUUACCUUGUUAUAAUAAUAAAUCUACUCCAGAUGUGUGCUCUAACUUGUGGAAUUGUGGAGAUAUCCGCUUUCACUUGUGAUGUGUGCUGAUAUAUAGCUCAGCAAUGGAGCACGGGCCACCACUGAACGUCACCAUAUUAGGACGCCUACACCCCUCCUCCGUUCCCUUUGUACCUUCUCACCGUACGACCUCCCUGGGCUGCCUCACUACCUUCUCCACCUCCACGAGCUGUGCGGUUGAGUUGUUCUUCUUCCGCGGUGAGCUUUUUACUGCUAAUCGAUUGUGUGGUGAACCAGCGACUGCAGCCCUCUCCUACACGCUGCUGCUGCUGCUUUUUCUCGCACGAGCGUUGUGUAAUUGUUGUGUACAAGUGUAUUGCUGAUAAGUUAUCUAAAAAUUAAUUAAUGGACAAAGCCUCCUUCCGUGUGACAACCUCUGAAAACCAGCAAAAAUGAUGCUGCACUUUUUUACUAAUUCAUCUGUAGUAAAAGUAAGUGUAUGAUUGUUGCAUUGCUCUGACCAUAUAUCCAACAUGACAGAGGUUUACGGUGACCUGACCGUUGACUACUUGAAGAAGAUGUUCCACCAACUGUCGUUGCUCUAGGACUAUGAGUACAUCUACAUUUCUUUUCUUUUUACAGCUUGUGUACUUCUCAAGUUAAAUUUGAACUGUUUGCAGCAAACAUUCUUUUGCUACUGAUGCGGAACUUCCUAUUUAGUUAUGUCAGGCAACUCCUUUCAUGAUAAUUGAUAUUUGUUGACCUGCUUGAUAACCUGACAUGAGCCUUUUAUGAACUUGACCUGCUGACAUGAAGCUUAAGAGAGGUAAAAUUAUAUCAUGUUCAUAGAGUCGGCAGCAGUUCAACAACUUGACCUGCCGACAUGAACCUUUACAAGCCAACAGUGUAUAUUUCAGUUACUUCUAAGUUUGAAUGAGAUUCCGUGUUAGUUCCUUCAUUCAAAGCAGGUGCAUUUUUUUCAGGUUGUGGUCUUUUUGCUGAUUGAUGUACUGAUAGGUGUUGUGACCGAUUGGAGGCACAAACUUCACAUUUGCUGGGAUGUAUGAGUUGCAGUUGCUCUUAUUACAACACUUCACAACAAUGCAACUUGCUUUUGUUAGCAUUUUUUCUGGAAGAAUUGGUAUUUUUUUUUGGGAGAAUUCUGGAAGAAUUGGUAGUGCAUGUCUGAAAUUGCUAUUUGCAAAUAAGGACAAGAGUGUUUUUAUUCUUAGAUAAUUGAUAUUUGGCAGGGAUUCCCUGCUUAAAGCUCAGUCUACUAUUAAAAUAAGGGAUUCAAAUUUAUAUCAGGUUUUGCUUCCUCUUAAAAUCUAUCUGUGAGAGAUCGUGCAAUGGAAAGUUACAAGAUAAGUCAGUGGAGGCAAAUUAACAAAGCAAAAUAUCUUUUGAUCCUCCGAGAUAAGUCAGUGGGUAUAUGAACUUCUCUUUGUUUCUCACCUGAAAGUUACAGUGUGAUUCUUAAAUUAACUGGAGCUUACUUCUUAUUAUUUACUUAUUAGUUCAUCACGUGUUACUUUUGUUUGUAUUCCCUGUGAAAAUUUUGGUCGGCAUGGCACAUGAUGAAUGCUUUUGUCAUAUUUAUCUUUUUAUUUGCAUUUACUUUUUAUUCCAUGCAUUAGUCAUUUACUCUGUACAUCUGUGUUCAUGUACAAGAUGCAAAAAUGCGGCUCUGUAAUUUUUCCAUGCACUCUCAAUUGCUACCAUACCAAAUGAUUUGAUAGCAGUAACUGGUGGUGCCUGUCGAUGAGUUGAUAUCCAUGUUCUUCUUUUCUCUAGAGCACUUCUAUUUGUAGGAUAUAUCUUCAUGGCUUUUCGUGCGAGUUCCAUUGGUAUUUGUUGAUUUAAGGCAUACUUAAUCAAUCUGAUGAGAACUUUAGUCGGGACAGAUGGAUUUUAGUGAACUUGCAGAAUUAGUAUCAUACAACCUUUUUAAUAAUUACUCAAGUGAUCAUUUUCCUAAUCAUGUGUAGUCAUUAACUUUUUAGUAACUUCUCGAGUGAUUAUUUUACUGAUUAUAUGUAGUCAUUUACUUGAGAUACUUUUUUCCAUCAGGAUCUUAUGAAGAAGGAUCCAUUUAAUGGCGUAGAGGUUGAAGCAUCAGGGUGCAAUGGACACCAGGUAGAUAACCAUCCUAUGCUUGAAAGGAAAUCUAAAUCGAUACCUGAAGAUUGUGAACGAAAACAGUAAGUUCAGAUAAAGCCAAUGAUAGGGGCAAUCAUUGGACCAUUCGAGAGAUGUCUCAUUGCUUUGGCUUUCAUUAAAGGUAUCCUCUAAUUGGUGACCAGUUGCUAUCCGUUAUUAUCUUACUACAUAGCAUUGUGUUGUAUAUAGCUUUCUACACAGCGAACUGGUGUUCAAAUUACAUAAUUCUAUCAGGAAUUGUUGAUGCUAGCUUCCAAGAAAAACAUACAUAUAUUUUGUUCACAUUAUGUUGAGAUGAUCUCAACAAGGGAGAUGUGUUUCAUGCCACUGCAAUUAGAUAAUUUUUAACUACAGAUACAUUCUGCAAUAUAUUCUAAACAUGUAGUUAGGAAUUUUAUGUGUUGGUUUGACAAGCAAUAAAGGAAAGUGGCUUAUUAGCAUUUUUUCUCAAGCAUAUAUGAGCAUGGAGGAACCAUGCUGGAAAUAAUUGUCCUUAAUGAUAUUUAGAACCUGCCUUUUAGCUCACCUUAGCAUUUGAAAGGGCAAUCGGAUUAUAGUAUUCAUGUAUGUCACAUGUCACAUAAUUAUGUAAGAAUGAUGUUGGCGGCCAUGUGUCACCUGAUUAUGGUAUCCGAAUCAGUGUGCUUUUCUAUGAUACGCUGCCGUUCACUUAAAUAUGCUACCUCUUA
Non-coding RNA from Lolium perenne, 3685 nucleotides. The record is from RefSeq and is a predicted model, not a curated record. Lineage: Eukaryota; Viridiplantae; Streptophyta; Magnoliopsida; Poales; Poaceae.